AGUUGCACCACAUAUUCUUCCAUUCUUGUAAAAUUCAAGCUCGACAAAUUUGCCCAAAUGAUUGUAACUGCUUGUAAGUUGUGCACAUCUUAUAAUUUAUCAAAACGUCUGUAAAUAACACAUUGUAAGUUGUAAAUAAUUUAUUGAAUUUAAUUUUACUAGUUACAAAAUCACAAGUUGUGUGAAUUUAAAGUUUUUCCUUAUCGUUUAUAUUUUCUUAUUCUAUUUUUUUGUAUUUUGUAAGGUUAUGACACCUAGUAAGCAUUGGAUGCAACUUUCUCUUGAUAAACGGGUUGACCAGGCCUAUUUAGAUGGGGUGAAAAAAUUUUUGAAUUAUGUUUUUCGAGGUCUGUCUUUGCUAAUUUUAUCCAUAUAGUCAACUCCUACAAGUUGAUGCCUUAUUUUUUGUCAAAUAGUCACUGAGAAAUUGUAUUUAAACAGUAGCAGUUUGUUUUCUCCAUGUUCUAUUGGUAAGGAACGAGGAACUGGAUAUAAAAACUCCAUCAUUCCUUCUAGUGAAGUUCAUACUCCCUUUCAUUCAUUUACUAAUCAAGUAAAGCAAUGUACCAAAGAAGUUGAAACAAGUGCUAUAGAAAAGGGACGUGAGCAAAUGCCUAGAUCUUUCUGCUCAUCUUUAGGGUUUCUGAAAAUAAUUUGGAAUCUAGUCAAGGACUACCAUCAAUGGAUAAAAAUCCCCUUGUUCUUGAGAAAGAGAACACGGAAAUCAAAUCCCAUGGUUCUACUGAUCAAGUAAGGCAACCCUCCCAAACAACAGAAAUAGGAUCAUCUUAUCCUAAGAAGGUAAAAAGGGUUCGAAGAAUAAAAAAGUGUAAAGAAGUUGCAUCACUUGAAGCCAAAAAGAAGCUGAAAAUAACAUUCUACAUUAAUCGAACGGUUGGAACAAAUAGCAAUCUGUUUUCGAGGCACCUGGGAAAAAUAAUUUGUGAUUGUAAAACAUGUGUCCAUUGGGAGUAUCAUUGUGGAGUGAUAUCAAGCAACAAAAAAUGGAUCAUACGUGGACAAUUAUUGCAGUAACAAUUAUGAAUUACAUCGUUUAACUUGUUGAAUCACAACUUACUUUUUGUCGGGAAAACGCGGACAAGCACAAAAGUAUGUAUGGUAAAAGUAAUGGAAAUAAAAUGGGAAAAUAACGACACCAAGAAUUUUACGUGG
Molecule: long non-coding RNA, 1173 nt
Organism: Solanum pennellii
Lineage: Eukaryota; Viridiplantae; Streptophyta; Magnoliopsida; Solanales; Solanaceae
Exons: 3
Source: RefSeq, a predicted model, not a curated record